Molecule: non-coding RNA, 26 nt
Filed under: Mus musculus (house mouse)
Lineage: Eukaryota; Metazoa; Chordata; Mammalia; Rodentia; Muridae
Source: RNAcentral
UUAAGACAAAACUGAAGGAAUGAUAC